ACGAACUGUGCGAACGUUAUUCGGAAUCACUGGGCUUAAAGGGUGCGUAGGCGGCGGCUCCAGUCAGGUGUGAAAUCCCCCGGCUCAACCGGGGAACAGCGCUUGAAACUAGGUCGCUCGAGUGAGGCAGGGGUGUAUGGAACUUCCGGUGGAGCGGUGAAAUGUGUAGAGAUCGGAAGGAACGCCGGCGGCGAAAGCGGUACACUGGGCCUUGUCUGACGCUGAGGCACGAAAGCUAGGGGAGUGAACGGGAUUAGAUACCCCGGUAAUCCUAGCCGUAAACACUGAGCACUGGAGGGGAGGGGUUUCGGCCCUUUCCCUCGCAGCGAAAGCGUUAAGUGCUCCGCCUGGGGAGUAUGGUCGCAAGGCUG
This 371-nucleotide ribosomal RNA is filed under the name uncultured bacterium. Its description in RNAcentral is "bacterial SSU rRNA". It matches the Rfam family "Bacterial small subunit ribosomal RNA", at positions 525 to 896 of the family's 1533-position model. The record is from RNAcentral.